GAUGAACGCUGGCGGCGUGCCUAAUACAUGCAAGUCGAGCGAACAGACGAGGAUCUUGCUCCUCUUACGGUAGCGGCGGACGGGGGAGUAACACGUGGAUAACCUACCUAUAAGACUGGGAUAACUUCGGGAAACCGGAGCUAAUACCGGAUAAUAUAUUGAACCGCAUGGUGCAAUAGUUAAAGAAGAUUGUGCUGUCACUGAUAGAGGGUGCCGCGCCGCAUUAGCUAGUUGGUAAGGUAACGGCUUACUAACGCAACGAUGCGUAGCCGACCUGAGAGGGUGAUCGGCCACACUGGAACUGAGACACGGUCCAGACUCCGACGGGAGGCAGCAGUAGGGAAUCUUACGCAAUGGGCGAAAGCCUGACGGAGCAACGCCGCGUGAGUGAUGAAGGUCUUCGGAUCGUAAAACUCUGUUAUUAGGGAAGAACAAAUGUGUAAGUAACUAUGCACGUCUUGACGGUAGCUAAUCAGAAAGCAACGGCUAACUACGUG
Molecule: ribosomal RNA, 497 nt
Filed under: uncultured bacterium
Lineage: Bacteria
Description: partial 16S ribosomal RNA
Rfam family: Bacterial small subunit ribosomal RNA
Source: RNAcentral